RNAcentral lists this ribosomal RNA (253 nucleotides) under uncultured bacterium. RNAcentral's name for it is "partial 16S ribosomal RNA". It matches the Rfam family "Bacterial small subunit ribosomal RNA", at positions 524 to 776 of the family's 1533-position model. The record is from RNAcentral.
UACGGGGGUGGCAAGCGUUGUUCGGAAUUACUGGGCGUAAAGCGCACGUAGGCGGAUUUGUAAGUCAGGGGUGAAAUCCCGGGGCUCAACCUCGGAACUGCCUUUGAUACUGCAAAUCUCGAGUCCGGAAGAGGUGAGUGGAAUUCCUAGUGUAGAGGUGAAAUUCGUAGAUAUUAGGAAGAACACCAGUGGCGAAGGCGGCUCACUGGUCCGGUACUGACGCUGAGGUGCGAAAGCGUGGGGAGCAAACAGG